Non-coding RNA from Peromyscus maniculatus bairdii (prairie deer mouse), 553 nucleotides. The record is from RefSeq and is a predicted model, not a curated record. NCBI's taxonomy places the organism in Eukaryota, Metazoa, Chordata, Mammalia, Rodentia, Cricetidae.
UUUUUUUUUUUUGAAGGAGAAACGGUGUGAAAAUUGCCCGGAUCCUUGUUCCCUCAAAGCAUCUCAGAAGCAAACUGCAGGAAGUGGUGGAUUCCGACAUAAAGGACAUCGUUUGCCUGCCUUAUUAUCUCAUUUUCCAGCAGGGCGGACAGGACAGCUGCCUGUUAUUACCCAGCACACCAGGAAGUGAUUUGCUGCCAAAGAGAAGAGAGGAGGGGAGGGAUUAGCGUGCUCACGCCACACAGACGGACCUCUUGCACCUGCAAUGGAGAUCUCCCUGGAAGGUGGCCGAGCACCGUCUGAAGUGACAUUUCAAAGAAAAGAAGUGAUUUCCUUCCGUUUCUCAAUGUCUAAUGCACGGGGGAAGGGGCGGAGUCAGACAUCAGGAGCUGACAGCCAGAGAAGGGUGACAGGAGACCUUACAUGGCCCUCUUGUUCACAGCAAAAGUGACUUCAGUUCUCAGGCUGAUCCCCCCGGAAGCCUGCACAAGAGGAAGAGAGUCUUGGAUCCUUUAGCACCACUGAUAAGUUUUGUAAAAUAAAUCUUUGAAUU